RNAcentral lists this ribosomal RNA (497 nucleotides) under uncultured bacterium. Its description in RNAcentral is "partial 16S ribosomal RNA". It matches the Rfam family "Bacterial small subunit ribosomal RNA", at positions 28 to 507 of the family's 1533-position model. The record is from RNAcentral.
GAUGAACGCUGGCGGCGUGCCUAAUACAUGCAAGUCGAGCGAACGGACGAGAAGCUUGCUUCUCUGAUGUUAGCGGCGGACGGGCGAGUAACACGUGGAUAACCUACCUAUAAGACUGGGAUAACUUCGGGAAACCGGAGCUAAUGCCGGAUAAUAUUUUGAACCGCAUGGUUCAAAAGUGAUAGACGGUCUUGCUGUCACUUAUAGAUGGAUCCGCGCUGCAUUAGCUAGUUGGUAAGGUAACGGCUUACCAAGGCAACGAUGCAUAGCCGACCUGAGAGGGUGAUCGGCCACACUGGAACUGAGACACGGUCCAGACUCCUACGGGAGGCAGCAGUAGGGAAUCUUCCGCAAUGGGCGAAAGCCUGACGGAGCAACGCCGCGUGAGUGAUGAAGGUCUUCGGAUCGUAAAACUCUGUUAUUAGGGAAGAACAUAUGUGUAAGUAACUGUGCACAUCUUGACGGUACCUAAUCAGAAAGACACGGCUAACUACGUG